This 320-nucleotide unclassified non-coding RNA is filed under the name plant metagenome. Its description in RNAcentral is "partial contains 5.8S ribosomal RNA, internal transcribed spacer 2, and large subunit ribosomal RNA". The stretch from base 1 to 105 matches the Rfam family "5.8S ribosomal RNA", at positions 50 to 154 of the family's 154-position model. The record is from RNAcentral.
GAAAUGCGAUAAGUAAUGUGAAUUGCAGAAUUCAGUGAAUCAUCGAAUCUUUGAACGCACAUUGCGCCCGCCAGUAUUCUGGCGGGCAUGCCUGUUCGAGCGUCAUUACAACCCUCAGGCCCCCGGGCCUGGCGUUGGGGAUCGGCGGAAGCCCCCUGCGGGCACAACGCCGUCCCCCAAAUACAGUGGCGGUCCCGCCGCAGCUGCCAUUGCGUAGUAGCUAACACCUCGCAACUGGAGAGCGGCGCGGCCACGCCGUAAAACACCCAACUUCUGAAUGUUGACCUCGAAUCAGGUAGGAAUACCCGCUGAACUUAAGC